This 305-nucleotide ribosomal RNA is filed under the name uncultured bacterium. RNAcentral describes it as "bacterial SSU rRNA". It matches the Rfam family "Bacterial small subunit ribosomal RNA", at positions 337 to 659 of the family's 1533-position model. The record is from RNAcentral.
ACCUACGGGGGGCAGCAGUGGGGAAUAUUGCACAAUGGGGGAAACCCUGAUGCAGCGACGCCGCGUGAGCGAUGAAGUAUUUCGGUAUGUAAAGCUCUAUCAGCAGGGAAGAAAAUGACGGUACCUGACUAAGAAGCCCCGGCUAACUACGUGCCAGCAGCCGCGGUAAUACGUAGGGGGCAAGCGUUAUCCGGAUUUACUGGGUGUAAAGGGAGCGUAGACGGCUUUGCAAGCCAGAUGUGAAAGCCCGGGGCUCAACCCCGGGACUGCAUUUGGAACUGUGGGGCUAGAGGGUCGGCGAGGCG